RNAcentral lists this ribosomal RNA (253 nucleotides) under uncultured bacterium. RNAcentral describes it as "partial 16S ribosomal RNA". It matches the Rfam family "Bacterial small subunit ribosomal RNA", at positions 524 to 776 of the family's 1533-position model. The record is from RNAcentral.
UACGUAGGGUGCGCGCGUUAAUCGGAAUUACUGGGCGUAAAGCGUGCGCAGGCGGUUCGCCAAGUCAGGUGUGAAAUCCCCGGGCUUAACCUGGGAAUUGCGCUUGAAACUAGCGGGCUUGAGUGUGGCAGAGGGGGGUGGAAUUCCACGUGUAGCAGUGAAAUGCGUAGAGAUGUGGAGGAACACCGAUGGCGAAGGCAGCCCCCUGGGUCAACACUGACGCUCAUGCACGAAAGCGUGGGGAGCAAACAGG